AUGGCAAGCCCCAGUUUGCUGUGGGCAGUCGUGGUUUACACCUAUCUUGGAUCCAGUGUGGCCCAGAUGGUCACUCAGCCUCAACCAGAAAUAUCUGUGCAGGAGGCAGACCCAGUGACCCUGGACUGUACGUAUAGCACUAGUGACAGUAAUUAUUAUUUGUUGUGGUACAAACAGCCUCCCAGUGGGGAGAUGAUUUUCAUUAUUGGCCAAGAAGCUUAUAAACCACAGAAUGCAACCAACAGUCGCUACUCUGUGAACUUCCAGAAAGAAGCCAAAUCCUUCAGUCUCAGGAUCUCAGACUCCCAGCUGGAGGAUGCUGCAAUGUAUUUCUGCGCUUACAGGGCAAAAAUGAAUGCACAGCUCACCUUUGGAAGCGGGACUCAACUCAUCGUGGAACCAAAUAUCCAGAACCCCGACCCUGCCGUGUACCUGCUGAGAAGCCCCAAAUCCAGCAACACCUCCGUCUGCUUAUACACCGAUUUUGAAUCUCAAGCCAAUGUGUCACAAGUCACGACGCCCGUGGUGUUCAGCUCAGACAGCACCAUGCUAGACAUGGGAGUCUUGGGUUCCAGGAGCAAUGGAGUCGUGGCUUGGGGCAGCAGGACCCAUUUGGGAUGCACAGCCGCCUUCAACCAGACCUUCUACUCCAGCUCAGGAAUUCCCUGUGAUGCCAAGAUAGCAGAGAAAAGCUUUGAAACAGAUAUGAACCUAAACUUCCAAAACUUGUCAGUGAUCGGGUUCCGCGUCCUCUUCCUGAAAGUGGUCGGGUACAACCUGCUCAUGACGCUGCGGCUGUGGUCCAGCUGAGGUCUCCAAGAACAUGCUCCCUCUCCCCUUGUUCCUUGUCACCCCUCCUCUCCCUCUUCAAGCAGAGAGGUGAACUCUCUGCCCCCAUGGACAGGAAGGCUCCCUCCACCUCUCUGGCCCCACUAGCAAUACCACCAACUGGAUCCUACCAGAUAUUCGUGAUCAAGACGCUGAAGAGCUGCCCAGCACUGCUGCCACCCCCUCUGUUCCCUCACUGCUGCUUGUCACUGCCUGGCAUUCUCAGCAAAGACGGAGCCCGCUGCAGCCUCUCCUGGCUGUGGGGAAACUCCCUCCCCGCCCCUCCCCUCCCAGAGACUGCCUCUGAUGUCCCCCUGGAGGAUGGAUCCCAGUGGGUUCUCUUGGGCUCUAGCUCCUGGAGAAUGUUGUGUGCUGUUUAUCUUUUUUACAUAGUGUUCAUAAAGAAAUACGUAUCACCCUUUUUCCCAAGAUGUGGGGGAGAGUAUCUCAUGAUCUAGGCCCUGCUCUGCUUGUGUAUCUGAGCCACGUUGUA
Kogia breviceps (pygmy sperm whale) is the source of this 1321-nucleotide non-coding RNA. The record is from the annotation of a RefSeq genome assembly. Lineage: Eukaryota; Metazoa; Chordata; Mammalia; Artiodactyla; Physeteridae.